GAUGAAGAACGCAGCGAAAUGCGAUACUUGGUGUGAAUUGCAGAAUCCCGUGAACCAUCGAGUCUUUGAACGCAAGUUGCGCCCGAAGCCAUUAGGCCGAGGGCACGCCUGCCUGGGCGUCACACGUCGUUGCCCCCCCAUCUACUCCUUCGGGAUUGCGGGGGGCGGAUGAUGGCCUCCCGUGCGCCUAGUCGCGCGGUUGGCAUCAAAGCCAAGUCCUCGGCGACGCACGCCACGACAAUCGGUGGUUGCGAAACCUCGGUUGCCCGUCGUGUGCGGUCGUCGCGCAUCGAGGGCUCGAAAAAAUUGCCGGGCUCCGGCUCGGCUUUCAACGCGACCCCAGGUCAGGCGGGGUUACCCGCUGAAUUUAAGCAUAUCAAUAAGCGGAGGA
RNAcentral lists this unclassified non-coding RNA (391 nucleotides) under soil metagenome. RNAcentral's name for it is "partial contains 5.8S ribosomal RNA, internal transcribed spacer 2, and large subunit ribosomal RNA". The stretch from base 1 to 122 matches the Rfam family "5.8S ribosomal RNA", at positions 35 to 154 of the family's 154-position model. The record is from RNAcentral.